RNAcentral lists this ribosomal RNA (483 nucleotides) under uncultured bacterium. RNAcentral's name for it is "partial 16S ribosomal RNA". It matches the Rfam family "Bacterial small subunit ribosomal RNA", at positions 30 to 507 of the family's 1533-position model. The record is from RNAcentral.
UUGAACGCUGGCGGCAGGCCUAACCCAUGCAAGUCGAGCGGAUGAAGGGAGCUUGCUCCUGGAUUCAGCGGCGGACGGGUGAGUAAUGCCUAGGAAUCUGCCUGGUAGUGGGGGAUAACGUCCGGAAACGGGCGCUAAUACCGCAUACGUCCUGAGGGAGAAAGUGGGGGAUCUUCGGACCUCACGCUAUCAGAUGAGCCUAGGUCGGAUUAGCUAGUUGGUGGGGUAAAGGCCUACCAAGGCGACGAUCCGUAACUGGUCUGAGAGGAUGAUCAGUCACACUGGAACUGAGACACGGUCCAGACUCCUACGGGAGGCAGCAGUGGGGAAUAUUGGACAAUGGGCGAAAGCCUGAUCCAGCCAUGCCGCGUGUGUGAAGAAGGUCUUCGGAUUGUAAAGCACUUUAAGUUGGGAGGAAGGGCAGUAAGUUAAUACCUUGCUGUUUUUACGUUACCAACAGAAUAAGCACCGGCUAACUUCGUG